This 1028-nucleotide ribosomal RNA is filed under the name Escherichia coli. RNAcentral describes it as "partial 23S ribosomal RNA". It matches the Rfam family "Bacterial large subunit ribosomal RNA", at positions 124 to 1194 of the family's 2925-position model. The record is from RNAcentral. Lineage: Bacteria; Pseudomonadati; Pseudomonadota; Gammaproteobacteria; Enterobacterales; Enterobacteriaceae.
AAACCCAGUGUGUUUCGACACACUAUCAUUAACUGAAUCCAUAGGUUAAUGAGGCGAACCGGGGGAACUGAAACAUCUAAGUACCCCGAGGAAAAGAAAUCAACCGAGAUUCCCCCAGUAGCGGCGAGCGAACGGGGAGCAGCCCAGAGCCUGAAUCAGUAUGUGUGUUAGUGGAAGCGUCUGGAAAGGCGCGCGAUACAGGGUGACAGCCCCGUACACAAAAAUGCACAUGCUGUGAGCUCGAUGAGUAGGGCGGGACACGUGGUAUCCUGUCUGAAUAUGGGGGGACCAUCCUCCAAGGCUAAAUACUCCUGACUGACCGAUAGUGAACCAGUACCGUGAGGGAAAGGCGAAAAGAACCCCGGCGAGGGGAGUGAAAAAGAACCUGAAACCGUGUACGUACAAGCAGUGGGAGCACGCUUAGGCGUGUGACUGCGUACCUUUUGUAUAAUGGGUCAGCGACUUAUAUUCUGUAGCAAGGUUAACCGAAUAGGGGAGCCGAAGGGAAACCGAGUCUUAACUGGGCGUUAAGUUGCAGGGUAUAGACCCGAAACCCGGUGAUCUAGCCAUGGGCAGGUUGAAGGUUGGGUAACACUAACUGGAGGACCGAACCGACUAAUGUUGAAAAAUUAGCGGAUGACUUGUGGCUGGGGGUGAAAGGCCAAUCAAACCGGGAGAUAGCUGGUUCUCCCCGAAAGCUAUUUAGGUAGCGCCUCGUGAAUUCAUCUCCGGGGGUAGAGCACUGUUUCGGCAAGGGGGUCAUCCCGACUUACCAACCCGAUGCAAACUGCGAAUACCGGAGAAUGUUAUCACGGGAGACACACGGCGGGUGCUAACGUCCGUCGUGAAGAGGGAAACAACCCAGACCGCCAGCUAAGGUCCCAAAGUCAUGGUUAAGUGGGAAACGAUGUGGGAAGGCCCAGACAGCCAGGAUGUUGGCUUAGAAGCAGCCAUCAUUUAAAGAAAGCGUAAUAGCUCACUGGUCGAGUCGGCCUGCGCGGAAGAUGUAACGGGGCUAAACCAUGCAC